CGGCGGCGGCAAGGCUGGGCGCGGAGGCUGGACGCGGAGCCCUAGAUUGAAAACGACUGCAAUGUCCAUCAGCAGAAUGGAUUGAAAACGUUGCGGCGGUACAGUCACAAAAUGGGAUACCAAACAACAAGGAGAAAGCAUGAGCCACUGCUACACUGACUACAGACGGAACUCAUAAACAAUAUCGAGCAAUGGAAGUCAGACAUGAAAGCAUGCGUACAAUGUGAUUCCGUUUAUGCAAAGUAUAAAACAGGCAAAACCGACAAUCAGGUACCUUCCUGGAGAGCCCUGGCCUUGCCUGAGUAGAUGUACCAAAGGAAAAGUGUAUAGUGACUAUUAAAAGCUGUGCUCUCUAAAAUUCGUAGUGCCAGCCACUUACGUUGGUCCUUUGCACAGCUCCCUGCUGUGACCGUCUCUGUACUCAAGAACAGGCAAAGGAGACACUAAGAAAGGCCUCAGAAAUAUUGGUGUCAGAGCCUUUCUUCCCCUAAGUUUGCCUCUGGAUAGACCAAGUCCCCAGGGCAGGCUGGACACAUCAUCGGAAAGCCAGCUACUAAAUAGAGUUUCCAGGGACACUCUGGAACGCUGCUGAUCUCUGCCUCCACCUGAAAAAGAAAGUUCAAAAAACGCAAGUUAUUCUCCAAGUC
Molecule: long non-coding RNA, 647 nt
Organism: Lynx canadensis (Canada lynx)
Lineage: Eukaryota; Metazoa; Chordata; Mammalia; Carnivora; Felidae
Exons: 3
Source: RefSeq, a predicted model, not a curated record